ACGGGCUUCGGUCUGGUGGCGAGUGGCGAACGGGUGAGUAAAGUAUCGGAACGUACCUUUCAGUGGGGGAUAACGUAGCGAAAGUUACGCUAAUACCGCAUAUUCUGUGAGCAGGAAAGCAGGGGAUCGCAAGACCUUGCGCUGAUUGAGCGGCCGAUAUCAGAUUAGCUAGUUGGUGGGGUAAAGGCCUACCAAGGCGACGAUCUGUAGCGGGUCUGAGAGGAUGAUCCGCCACACUGGAACUGAGACACGGUCCAGACUCCUACGGGAGGCAGCAGUGGGGAAUUUUGGACAAUGGGGGCAACCCUGAUCCAGCCAUGCCGCGUGAGUGAAGAAGGCCUUCGGGUUGUAAAGCUCUUUCGGCCGGGAAGAAAUCGCAUGGGCUAAUACCCUGUGUGGAUGACAGUACCGGAAUAAGAAGCACCGGCUAACUACGUGCCAGCAGCCGCGGUAAUACGUAGGGUGCGAGCGUUAAUCGGAAUUACUGGGCGUAAAGCGUGCGCAGGCGGUUUAGUAAGACAGGCGUGAAAUCCCCGGGCUCAACCUGGGAACUGCGCUUGUGACUGCUAAGCUAGAGUAC
RNAcentral lists this ribosomal RNA (580 nucleotides) under uncultured Dechloromonas sp. RNAcentral's name for it is "bacterial SSU rRNA". It matches the Rfam family "Bacterial small subunit ribosomal RNA", at positions 73 to 649 of the family's 1533-position model. The record is from RNAcentral. Lineage: Bacteria; Pseudomonadati; Pseudomonadota; Betaproteobacteria; Rhodocyclales; Azonexaceae.